This is a non-coding RNA of Phrynosoma platyrhinos (Desert horned lizard), 72 nucleotides long. NCBI's taxonomy places the organism in Eukaryota, Metazoa, Chordata, Lepidosauria, Squamata, Phrynosomatidae. The record is from the annotation of a GenBank genome assembly.
GACAGCAUGGCAUAGCGGUUUGAGCGCUGGACUGCGACUCUGGAGAUCAGGGUUCAAGUCCCAGCUUGGCCA